GAUGAAGAACGCAGCGAAAUGCGAUAAGUAAUGUGAAUUGCAGAAUUCAGUGAAUCAUCGAAUCUUUGAACGCACAUUGCGCCCGCCAGUAUUCUGGCGGGCAUGCCUGUUCGAGCGUCAUUUCAACCAUCAAGCCCCCGGCUUGUGUUGGGGACCUGCGGCUGCCGCAGGCCCUGAAAAGCAGUGGCGGGCUCGCUGUCACACCGAGCGUAGUAGCAUACAUCUCGCUCUGGGCGUGCUGCAGGUUCCGGCCGUUAAACCACCUUCAUAACCCAAGGUUGACCUCGGAUCAGGUAGGAAGACCCGCUGAACUUAAGCAUAUCAUAAGCGGAGGA
This 335-nucleotide unclassified non-coding RNA is filed under the name soil metagenome. Its description in RNAcentral is "partial contains 5.8S ribosomal RNA, internal transcribed spacer 2, and large subunit ribosomal RNA". The stretch from base 1 to 120 matches the Rfam family "5.8S ribosomal RNA", at positions 35 to 154 of the family's 154-position model. The record is from RNAcentral.